RNAcentral lists this ribosomal RNA (497 nucleotides) under uncultured bacterium. RNAcentral's name for it is "partial 16S ribosomal RNA". It matches the Rfam family "Bacterial small subunit ribosomal RNA", at positions 28 to 507 of the family's 1533-position model. The record is from RNAcentral.
GAUGAACGCUGGCGGCGUGCCUAAUACAUGCAAGUCGAGCGAACAGACGAGAAGCUUGCUCCUCUGACGUUAGCGGCGGACGGGUGAGUAACACGUGGAUAACCUACCUAUAAGACUGGGAUAACUUCGUGAAACCGGAGCUAAUACCAGAUAACAUGUUGAACCGCAUGGUUCAACAGUGAAAGACGGUCUUGCUGUCACUUUUAGAUGAAUCCGCGCCACAUUAGCUAGUUGGUAAGGUAACGGCUUACCAAGGCAACGAUGCGUAGCCGACCUGAGAGGGUGAUCGGCCACACUGGAACUGAGACACGGUCCAGACUCCUACGGGAGGCAGAAGUAGGGAAUCUUCCGCAAUGGGCGAAAGCCUGACGGAGCCAUGCCGCGUGAGUGAAGAAGGUCUUCGGAUCGUAAAACUCUGUUAUUAGGGAAGAACAAAUGUGUAAGUAACUAUGCACGUCUUGACGGUACCUAAUCAGAAAGCCACGGCUAACUACGUG